Molecule: unclassified non-coding RNA, 318 nt
Filed under: uncultured Trichocomaceae
Lineage: Eukaryota; Fungi; Ascomycota; Eurotiomycetes; Eurotiales; Trichocomaceae
Description: sequence contains ITS1
Rfam family: 5.8S ribosomal RNA (bases 1-105)
Source: RNAcentral
GAAAUGCGAUAAUUAAUGUGAAUUGCAGAAUUCAGUGAAUCAUCGAGUCUUUGAACGCACAUUGCGCCCCCUGGCAUACCGGGGGGUAUGCCUGUCCGAGCGUCAUUGCUACCCUCAAGCACGGCUUGUGUGUUGGGCCGCCGUCCGCCCCGCCCCGCGGGGCGGACGCGCCCGAAAGGCAGCGCCGGCACCGCGUCCGGUCCGCGAGCGUAUGGGGCUUCGUCACCCGCUCCGUGGGUCUGGCCGGCGCUAGGCUUCGUCAACCACUUCUUUUCCUAGGUUGACCUCGGAUCAGGUAGGGAUGCCCGCUGAACUUAA